RNAcentral lists this long non-coding RNA (354 nucleotides) under Lathyrus oleraceus (garden pea). RNAcentral's name for it is "Pisum sativum (pea) long non-coding RNA (PSAT_LNC040571)". Lineage: Eukaryota; Viridiplantae; Streptophyta; Magnoliopsida; Fabales; Fabaceae. The record is from RNAcentral.
ACCAAAUCAUCAACGGAUGAUCGGGAAAAACUCGACGUUUAUCGACACCAACGGAGAGGAGGAUACUUCACUUGGGAAGGAGGACACAACCAAAUCAUCAACGGAUGAUCGGGAAAAACUCGACGUUUAUCGACACCAACGGAGAGGAGAAUACUCCACUUGGGAAGGAGGACACAACCAAAUCAUCAACGGAUGAUCGGGAAAAACUCGACGUUUAUCGACACCAACGGAGAGGAGAAUACUUCACUUGGGAAGGAGGACACAACCAAAUCAUCAACGGAUGAUCGGGAAAAACUCGACGUUUAUCGACACCAACGGAGAGGAGAAUACUUCACUUGGGAAGGAGGACACAAC